UUUCUAGACUUUUUUAUAAGUGACAUUCUGACUGUUGUAAGAUGGCAACUCAUUGUGGUAUUGAUUUGCAUUUCUGUGAUGAUUAAUGAUAUUGAGCAUUU
Long non-coding RNA from Sapajus apella (tufted capuchin), 101 nucleotides. RefSeq lists it as uncharacterized. NCBI's taxonomy places the organism in Eukaryota, Metazoa, Chordata, Mammalia, Primates, Cebidae. The transcript is spliced from 3 exons. The record is from RefSeq and is a predicted model, not a curated record.